UUUUGCAUGACCCUGGGAGUAGG
This 23-nucleotide microRNA is filed under the name Homo sapiens (human). RNAcentral describes it as "hsa-miR-3680-3p". Lineage: Eukaryota; Metazoa; Chordata; Mammalia; Primates; Hominidae. The record is from miRBase by way of RNAcentral.